CCUACGGGAGGCAGCAGUGGGGAAUAUUCGGCAAUGGGCGCAAGCCUGACCCAGCAACGCCGCGUGCAGGAAGAAGGCUUUCGGGUUGUAAACUUCUUUUCUGGGGGACGAACAAAUGACGGUACCCCAGGAAUAAGCCACGGCUAACUACGUGCCAGCAGCCGCGGUAAUACGUAGGUGGCAAGCGUUAUCCGGCUUUAUUGGGGGUAAAGGGCGUGUAGGCGGGAAUGCAAGUCAGAUGUGAAAACUAUGGGCUCAACCCAUAGCCUGCAUUUGAAACUGUAUUUCUUGAGUGCUGGAGAGGCAAUCGGAAUUCCGUGUGUAGCGGUGAAAUGCGUAGAGAUACGGAGGAACACCAGUGGCGAAGGCGGAUUGCUGGACAGUAACUGACGCUGAGGCGCGAAAGCGUGGGGAGCAAACAGGAUUAGAUACCCCUGUAGUC
RNAcentral lists this ribosomal RNA (442 nucleotides) under uncultured bacterium. RNAcentral's name for it is "partial 16S ribosomal RNA". It matches the Rfam family "Bacterial small subunit ribosomal RNA", at positions 338 to 795 of the family's 1533-position model. The record is from RNAcentral.